GACGAACGCUGGCGGCGUGCCUAAUACAUGCAAGUCGAACGAACCGCGACUAAGUGCUUGCACUAAGUCAAGGUGAGUGGCGAACGGGUGAGUAACACGUGGGUAACCUACCUCAUAGUGGGGGAUAACAGUCGGAAACGACUGCUAAUACCGCAUAGGACAUAGGCUCACAUGAUCCAGUGAGGAAAGGUGGCGCAAGCUAUCGCUAAGAGAUGGACCCGCGGUGCAUUAGCUAGUUGGUAGGGUAAAGGCCUACCAAGGCGAUGAUGCAUAGCCGACCUGAGAGGGUGAUCGGCCACAUUGGGACUGAGACACGGCCCAAACUCCUACGGGAGGCAGCAGUAGGGAAUCUUCCGCAAUGGACGCAAGUCUGACGGAGCAACGCCGCGUGAGUGAAGAAGGUCUUCGGAUCGUAAAGCUCUGUUGUUAGAGAAGAACAGCGCAUAGAGUAACUGCUAUGCGUGUGACGGUAUCUAAACAGAAAGCCACGGCUAACUACGUG
Molecule: ribosomal RNA, 502 nt
Filed under: uncultured bacterium
Lineage: Bacteria
Description: partial 16S ribosomal RNA
Rfam family: Bacterial small subunit ribosomal RNA
Source: RNAcentral